This 484-nucleotide ribosomal RNA is filed under the name uncultured bacterium. Its description in RNAcentral is "partial 16S ribosomal RNA". It matches the Rfam family "Bacterial small subunit ribosomal RNA", at positions 30 to 507 of the family's 1533-position model. The record is from RNAcentral.
AUUGAACGCUGGCGGCAGGCCUAACACAUGCAAGUCGAGCGGAUGAAGGGAGCUUGCUCCUGGAUUCAGCGGCGGACGGGUGAGUAAUGCCUAGGAAUCUGCCUGGUAGUGGGGGAUAACGUCCGGAAACGGGCGCUAAUACCGCAUACGUCCUGAGGGAGAAAGUGGGGGAUCUUCGGACCGCACGCUAUCAGAUGAGCCUAGGUCGGAUUAGCUAGUUGGUGGGGUAAAGGCCUACCAAGGCGACGAUCCGUAACUGGUCUGAGAGGAUGAUCAGUCCCACUGGAACUGAGACACGGUCCAGACUCCUACGGGAGGCAGCAGUGGGGAAUAUUGGACAAUGGGCGAAAGCCUGAUCCAGCCCUGCCGCGUGUGUGAAGAAGGUCUUCGGAUUGUAAAGCACUUUAAGUUGGGAGGAAGGGCAGUAAGUUAAUACCUUGCUGUUUUGACGUUACCAACAGAAUAAGCACCGGCUAACUUCGUG